Molecule: non-coding RNA, 270 nt
Organism: Pelobates cultripes (western spadefoot toad)
Lineage: Eukaryota; Metazoa; Chordata; Amphibia; Anura; Pelobatidae
Source: the annotation of a GenBank genome assembly
CUGGUCUGGUGUAGAACAGGAUCUCUGGAGGCUGUUUGCAACUGUGGUCACAAAAUUCAAUGUUCUGGGAGAAUUGGAAGCAGCUCCAUUUUUUUUGGGGCCCCUUACACAGCUCAAGGUCUGGGCCCCAGGGCCUGACGGUGAGUAUGCCCAUAAGGCCCACUCAUAAGUUCCACCCACCCAUGAGUUCGCUCACAGGGAGUGGAGUGUGUAGGGGAUGUGUUAUUGUAGAGGAUCUAAUAUGUGUGCUUAUGGUAUGUAGUGUAUAGG